Molecule: long non-coding RNA, 1477 nt
Organism: Selaginella moellendorffii
Lineage: Eukaryota; Viridiplantae; Streptophyta; Lycopodiopsida; Selaginellales; Selaginellaceae
Exons: 8
Source: RefSeq, a predicted model, not a curated record
CUUCUCAUUUUGUCCCACACAAAGCCAAGAACCCUAGUUUGUCUAGCCGUAUUAAAGGAGAAAAAAAGGUUAUAUUCUCAUGGAUCCGUGAAGAAAUGCCGGAGGAGCUGCCAUCAGCGCGCGUGCAUUCUCGAUGUUCUUGCUCAGAUUUCGAAUCGUCGGAGCUCGCCACUUCCAGAUGGUGUCCCCGGUGACAAGAGAAUAUGCUUAGGGUUUUGAGGCUAUGGCGGAAGAAGAAGCUCCAGCGAUAAGAAGAAGAAGCUCCGGCCGCCGCGGAGGAUCCAGCGACAGCACCAGCCGUCGGCGAUGAAGCACCAAUGCAGGUGGAUUGGAGCGCCGCUCACGAACCGGCAUGUGAGCGCCCAUUCGGCAGGUUCGUGAGGCAGGAGGAUCUUGAGCGCUCCUCGCGUGGUCGUGUAUGCCAAUCCCCGGCGAUGAGUCACAGGGCGAUAGCCUCGUUUCAAGCAGAAACGAUAAGUGGAAGCCCGUCUGGGCUCCACUCGACGAGGACACUCCCGUGGGAGAUCGCCGAGUGGUUAAACCAGAAUCCUCGCGUGGAGUUUUGAGUCUUGCCAGCCGAGUACAUCCAGAAGUUCUACUAUAUUGUGAUGAAGAAGAAGGAGAAGGAGAAGCAACGCCAGGAGCUCGCUGCUGGGUUUGCAUCACAGCGAGAAGAAAGAAGUGAAAACUCUGGAAAACGUAGAACAGAUGCCAACCUUUCUUACUCAGAAGAAACACCAGAAGAGUGUGCUCGGAAGAGUGUGCUCUCUCUCUCUCUCUCUCUCUCUCUCCUCCUUGCGUGUUUCUGAGUUGAAUGGUUGAUAGCCUUGUACUUUCAGGAAUCCUGGCGUUGACGACGAAGACAAUCAUCUCUGGACAAUAAGAAGUCAUGAAAAGGAGAUACGAGCUGCUUUGUCAGCUACAAGUGAAGCUGCGGGAUCUCGGGGGACUAACGUCAAGUCUCAAGCUUACAAAGAGGUGAAAGCAAGUCCCGGAGAGCAAGUGCUUCCUCAGAUUCGGUGACGAACGGGACACCCAUGCCUCGACAGAUGAGUAUGCAAAGUUGCAAAGGAUCCAGCACGCUCAAGCUCGGCGUUCACAGAUUGUCGGUUGCAACGCUGCACCUAACGAGCUCCUUAUGUGGGGGUUUUCUUGGAAUCUGACGCUUUCUUCUUUAGCGAUGGAUGUGAUCCUUUCUUGUCUUUCUUUCUUUUGUUUUGGUGCAUCCAUUUCAGGAGGGGUCUCUAGUUGUUUCAUGUGCUGAAAGCACUGUGAAGGUAUGAAAUUCAUCAACUGCUGAGUGCCUCUACACUCUGGGGCCUGGUUCUGACGAAAACAACGUGGCUGGUCAUAAGAAAGAAAACCUCUGCAAUGGCCGCUAAUCCGUCUCAAACCUGCCUUGUGGCAACAAGUAGUGGUCAAGGCGAUCGACAACUGCUUUUGUAGAGAAACGCUUGUACCAGAAUUAAUCUCACGG